UGGGGAAUCUUGGACAAUGGGCGCAAGCCUGAUCCAGCCAUGCCGCGUGAGUGACGAAGGCCUUAGGGUUGUAAAACUCUUUCGUCGGGGACGAUAAUGACGGUACCCGAAGAAGAAGCUCCGGCUAACUUCGUGCCAGCAGCCGCGGUAAUACGAAGGGAGCUAGCGUUGUUCGGAAUCACUGGGCGUAAAGCGCACGUAGGCGGAUAGUUAAGUCAGGGGUGAAAUCCUGGGGCUCAACCCCAGAACUGCCUUUGAUACUGGCUGUCUCGAGGUCGAGAGAGGUUGGUGGAAUUCCUAGUGUAGAGGUGAAAUUCGUAGAUAUUAGGAAGAACACCAGUGGCGAAGGCGGCCAACUGGCUCGAUACUGACGCUGAGGUGCGAAAGCGUGGGGAGCAAACAGGAUUAGAUACCCCAGUAGUCCCUGAGCGGGCUGGCAAGGCGCAU
This 447-nucleotide ribosomal RNA is filed under the name uncultured bacterium. Its description in RNAcentral is "bacterial SSU rRNA". It matches the Rfam family "Bacterial small subunit ribosomal RNA", at positions 355 to 825 of the family's 1533-position model. The record is from RNAcentral.